UCAGAUCUCGCGGUCCUCGAGUUCCUAACCCGCCGCCGAGACCUUCCUCUUCUACCUCGCCGGCGUCACCUUCGAGUGUUGUUUCCAGUAAUGGCGAAACAGAGCAACCGCUUCCGCCGCAGGUGAAUGUAGCACCUCCACCGCCUCCGCCUCCCCCGAGGAAACUUGCUUCCAAAGCAGCAGCAGCAGCACCUCCGCCUCCCCCGCCACCGCCUAGGGGGCUGAGGGCGGCUCCGUCGAAGGUGAGGAGAGUGCCGGAGGUGGUAGAGUUUUACCACUCGUUGAUGCGGAGAGAUUCGCAGUCGCGGAGGGAGUCGAGCUCCGGCGGCGGUGCGGAGGUG
RNAcentral lists this long non-coding RNA (341 nucleotides) under Lotus japonicus. RNAcentral's name for it is "long non-coding RNA (LJAP_LNC001767)". The record is from RNAcentral. Lineage: Eukaryota; Viridiplantae; Streptophyta; Magnoliopsida; Fabales; Fabaceae.